This 458-nucleotide ribosomal RNA is filed under the name uncultured bacterium. RNAcentral describes it as "bacterial SSU rRNA". It matches the Rfam family "Bacterial small subunit ribosomal RNA", at positions 917 to 1382 of the family's 1533-position model. The record is from RNAcentral.
GGGCCCGCACAAGCAGUGGAGUAUGUGGUUUAAUUCGAAGCAACGCGAAGAACCUUACCAGGUCUUGACAUCCAAUGACGCAUGCAGAGAUGCAUGUUUCCUUCGGGACAUUGAGACAGGUGGUGCAUGGUUGUCGUCAGCUCGUGUCGUGAGAUGUUGGGUUAAGUCCCGCAACGAGCGCAACCCUUAUUGUCAGUUACUACGCAAGAGGACUCUGACGAGACUGCCGUUGACAAAACGGAGGAAGGUGGGGAUGACGUCAAAUCAUCAUGCCCUUUAUGACCUGGGCCACACACGUACUACAAUGGCUAUUAACAGAGAGAAGCAAGACCGCAAGGUGGAGCAAACCUCAUAAAAAUAGUCUCAGUUCGGAUUGGGGGCUGCAACCCGCCCCCAUGAAGCCGGAAUUGCUAGUAAUCGCGGAUCAGCAUGCCGCGGUGAAUACGUUCCCGGGCCUU